CCCUUAGAUGUUCUGGGCCGCACGCGCGCUACACUGAUUCGUGCAACAAGUUUUGUCCUUGGCUGAUAGGCCUGGGUAAUCUUUGAACGUGAAUCGUGAUGGGGAUAGAUGAUUGCAAUUAUUCAUCUUCAACGAGGAAUUCCUAGUAAACGCAAGUCAUCAGCUUGCAUUGAUUACGUCCCUGCCCUUUGUACACACCGCCCGUCGCACCUACCGAUUGAAUGGUCCGGUGAAAUCUUCGGAUCUGAGAGAUGUCUGAUUAAUUUCGGACGCCUUUUGGAAAAGUUGUUUAAACCUUACCAUUUAGAGGAAGGUGAAGUCGUAACA
RNAcentral lists this ribosomal RNA (327 nucleotides) under uncultured eukaryote. RNAcentral describes it as "partial 18S ribosomal RNA". It matches the Rfam family "Eukaryotic small subunit ribosomal RNA", at positions 1470 to 1796 of the family's 1831-position model. The record is from RNAcentral.